RNAcentral lists this long non-coding RNA (1106 nucleotides) under Parus major (Great Tit). RNAcentral describes it as "lncRNA (ENSPMJG00000004269.1)". The record is from RNAcentral. Lineage: Eukaryota; Metazoa; Chordata; Aves; Passeriformes; Paridae.
AUGAACUCCACUGUUGCUGUUAGCAAUAAAAUGGACAAACACCACUUGUCACUGACUGAAAGAAAGGGUCAUUUACUGGGGAGCUUAGAAAAAAAAAAAUUCCCAAUGAACUGGCAAUCCUGCUGUUUAUCUAGCUCUAAUUGUAAGCAGUGCUGUAUCAAUUACUUUCAAGGCAGCAACUGUCACUUGUUUUGGAAAUUUGCAUAUUUUAAACAUAUUUUCAAUCAUCACUUUAGCCUCCAGAGCUGUCACUACCUUCACAUGUCACUGCCGUUACCGCAAUCACAAGUCAUUGCUUAUCAGACUGAUUGCCAGCAGUGCACUUCUGCCAAAACUGUCAAUGUACUGGAAAUGGAAGAACCAGGAACAUGAGACUUCCAGCAUUACACCUGGCAAGUGACAGACACGUCCCAGUCUGUAAUGAAAAUAUAUUUUUGUUUUAAACCGAGUAUAUGAGAGCUGGAUGAGAUGCUACACAUGGUCUUCUGCUAAGAAACUGCUGGGAAGAGUCUUCAGAUUCCUUCUCUCUGAGUGUUCGUUGUGAUUCACCACAAGGCCAUCAAUUGCCUGUACUAGGGUGAAAUUUAUAUCGUCUGUUACCCAUGUCAGAACCAUGGCAGGCACAAUCGUAAUCUGCCAAAGGAAACAUUUGGUUUGCUUUUCUUUUAAAGGUCUUGCAUUGAAUUUCCAGGUUAGCCCACAGAUGGGAGCAAAGGGGAAUUCCUUGUAAGAAGUGUGGGAAGGAUGGUACUAAUCAGUGAGACAGACCAUGCUUCUACUACACCUCCUUACAACUAAAGUGUAGCAGAGCUUGUGUUGGCUUAACUGGCCCCUGGGAAUUGGCACAGAAGCUGCAGAUAACACAGAAUUUGUAAACAUUUAUAUGAGAAAUAAUACAAUAGAGAACAGCUUUAAGCAUAUGCAGACCAGAGAGAGAAAUGGAUAAUUUAUGUGUGGGACAUGAAUUGCUAUUUAGCAAGAAAUAUUAGAAAAUAAUAACAACAACAAAAAAACAGCUUCCAAACAGAAGCUAUUUGAGACAUGACUUUGGUGUUAAUUCUGUUGUUUUUGAUAUCAUUUCUCUAAUAAACACUUACUCCUGCCCA